UGUGAGUGUUUUUGUCUUGUCUCCUGUCAGUGUCUUGGUGUGUAUGGUCCUUUGCCUUUUUUCGAGUCUCUUUCGCGUCCUCUGUGUUUGAGUCUCUAGUCUCAAAUCUUUUCCCAUCUUCCUGGCUUCUCGUGUCUUUCCAAGUCUCCUGGUUUCUUCUGUCCAACUGAAUCUCCUGUUUACCUGAGUUUUGCUGAGUCUCCUGACAGGCGAAGCUGCAAAGCUAGAGAACUGCUCUGCUCCCGAGCACCAACAAGACUGCGGAUUGGAAUUCCGAUGUCUUGCGGUAAUUCGUCAGGUUUAUUGAAGGGCUCCGAGAUUUCUUGGUGAAGAUUUCAAGCGGAGCAGAUGCCUCUAUUCAUUUCUGUCAAAGGCUGUCUGCAAGAAGGGAACGGCCAGGACAUCGGCGAGCUAAAGCCAAAAUGACAACCUUCAUGAAGAUCUGCUUUCCAUGGAUUGGAAGAUCUCCUGCUAUAGAGGUCCAA
This is a long non-coding RNA of Silurus meridionalis, 485 nucleotides long. RefSeq lists it as uncharacterized. The transcript has 4 exons. NCBI's taxonomy places the organism in Eukaryota, Metazoa, Chordata, Actinopteri, Siluriformes, Siluridae. The record is from RefSeq and is a predicted model, not a curated record.